GACAGAGGAUGCAAGCGUUAUCCGGAAUGAUUGGGCGUAAAGCGUCUGUAGGUGGCUUUUUAAGUCUGCCGUCAAAUUCCAGGGCUCAACCCUGGACCUGCAUUCGAUACGGGCGGACUAGAGUUCGGUAGGGGAGACUGGAAUUCCUGGUGUAGCGGUGAAAUGCGCAGAUAUCAGGAGGAACACCGGUGGCGAAGGCGGGUCUCUGGGCCGAUACUGACGCUGAGGAGCGAAAGCGUGGGGAGCGAACAGG
RNAcentral lists this ribosomal RNA (253 nucleotides) under uncultured bacterium. RNAcentral's name for it is "partial 16S ribosomal RNA". It matches the Rfam family "Bacterial small subunit ribosomal RNA", at positions 524 to 776 of the family's 1533-position model. The record is from RNAcentral.